Molecule: long non-coding RNA, 2447 nt
Filed under: Salmo salar (Atlantic salmon)
Lineage: Eukaryota; Metazoa; Chordata; Actinopteri; Salmoniformes; Salmonidae
Description: lncRNA (ENSSSAG00000113215.1)
Source: RNAcentral
GAGCAGAGAGAGAGCGAGGAAGAGAGCAGAGAGAGAGCGAGGAAGAGAGCAGAGAGAGAGCGAGGAAGAGAGCAGAGAGAGCUAGGAAGAGAGCAGAGAGAGAGCGAGGAAGAGAGCAGAGAGAGAGCGAGGAAGAGAGCAGAGAGAGAGCGAGGAAGAGAGCAGAGAGAGAGCGAGGAAGAGAGCAGAGAGAGAGCGAGGAAGAGAGCAGAGAGAGAGCGAGGAAGAGAGCAGAGAGAGAGCGAGGAAGCGAGCAGAGAGAGAGCGAGGAAGAGAGCAGAGAGCGCGAGGAAGAGAGCAGAGAGAGCACGAGGAAGAGAGCAGAGAGAGCGCGAGGAAGAGAGCAGAGAGCGAAAGAGAGCAGAGAGAGCAGAGAGAGCGAGAGCAAGAGAGCAGAGAGAGAGCAAGAGAGCAAGAGAGCGAGAGCAAGAGAGCAAGAGAGCGAGAGCAAGAGAGCAGAGAGAGAGAGCAAGAGAGCGAGAGCAGAGAGAGCAGAGAAAGAGAGCAGAGAGCAGAGAGAGAGAGAGCAGAGAGCAGAGAGAGAGAAAGAGAGCAGAGAGAGAGAAAGAGAGCAGAGAGAGCAGAAAGAGCAAAGAGAGCGAAAGAGCAGAGAGAGAGAAAGAGAGCAGAGAGAGAGCGAAAGAGCAAAGAGAGCGAAAGAGCAAAGAGCAAAGAGAGCGAAAGAGCAAAGAGAGCGAAAGAGCAGAGAGAGAGGAAGAGAGCAAAGAGAGAGGAAGAGAGCAGAGAGAGAGGAAGAGAGCAGAGAGAGAGAGAGAGAAAGAGAGCAGAGAGAGAGCGGAAGAGAGCAGAGAGCAGAGAGAGAGCGAGGAAGAGAGCAGAGAGAGAGCAAGGAAGAGAGCAGAGAGAGAGCGAGGAAGAGAGCAGAGAGAGAGCGAGGAAGAGAGCAGAGAGAGAGAGAGAAAGAGAGCAGAGAGAGAGAGAAAGAGCAGAGACAGAGAAAGAGAGCAGAGAGAGAGAAAGAGAGCAGAAGAGAGCAGAGAGAGAGAGGAAGAGAGCAGAGAGAGAGAGGAAGAGAGCAGAGAGAGAGGAAGAGAGCAGAGAUAGAGGGAGGAAGAGAGCAGAGAUAGAGGGAGGAAGAGAGCAGAGAUAGAGGGAGGAAGAGAGCAGAGAGAGAGCGAGGAAGAGAGCAGAGAGAGAGCGAGGAAGAGAGCAGAGAGCGAAAGAGAGCAGAGAGCGAAAGAGAGCAGAGAGAGGGAGAGCAGAGAGAGAGAGAGCAAAAGAGAGCAGAGAGAGAGAGCAAGAGAGCGAGAGCAGAGAGAGAAAGAGAGCAGAGAGAGAGAGAGAAAGAGAGCAAAGAGAGCAGAAGAGAGCAGAGAGAGAGAGGAAGAGAGCAGAGAGAGAGAGGAAGAGAGCAGAGAGAGAGAGGAAGAGAGCAGAGAGAGAGAGGAAGAGAGCAGAGAUAGAGGGAGGAAGGGACCAGAGAUAGAGGGAGGAAGAGAGCAGAGAUAGAGGGAGGAAGAGAGCAGAGAUAGAGGGAGGAAGGGACCAGAGAUAGAGGGAGGAAGAGAGCAGAGAUAGAGGGAGGAAGAGAGCAGAGAUAGAGGGAGGAAGGGAGCAGAGAUAGAGGGAGGAAGGGAGCAGAGAUAGAGGGAGGAAGAGAGCAGAGAGAGAGCGAGGAAGAGAGCGAGGAAGAGAGCAGAGAGAGCGAGGAAGAGAGCAGAGAGAGUGCGGGGAAGAGAGCGAGGAAGAGAGCGGGGAAGAGAGCGCGAGGAAGAGAGCAGAGUGCGAAAGAGAGCAGAGAGAGGGAGAGCAGAGAGAGAGAGAGCAAGAGAGCAGAGAGAGAGCAAGAGAGCAGAGAGAGCAAGAGAGCAGAGAGAGCAAGAGAGCAGAGAGAGAAAGAGAGCAGAGAGAGAGAGAGAAAGAGCAAAGAGAGCAGAGAGAGAGAGGAAGAGAGCAGAGAGAGAGGAAGAGAGCAGAGAGAGAGGAAGAGAGCUGAGAGAGAGGAAGAGAGCAGAGAUAGAGGAAGAGAGCAGAGAUAGAGGAAGAGAGCAAAGAGAGAAAUAGAGCAGAGAGAGAAAGAGAGCAGAGAGAGAAAGAGAGCAGAGAGAGAGAAAGAGAGCAGAGAGCAGAGAGCAGAGAAAGAGAGCAGAGAGCAGAGAGCAGAGAAAGAGAGCAGAGAGAGCAGCGAGAAAGAGAGCAGAGAGAGCAGCGAGAAAGAGAGCAGAGAGAGCAGCGAGAAGAGAGCAGAGAGAGAGCAGCGAGGAAGAGAGCAGAGAGAGAGCAGCGAGGAAGAGAGCAGAGAGAGAGCAGCGAGGAAGAGAGCAGAGAGAGAGCGAGGAAGAGAGCGAGGAAGAGAGCAGAGAGAGAGCGAGGAAGAGAGCAGAGAGAGAGCGAGGAAGAGAGCAGAGAGAGCGAGGAAGAGAGCAGAGAGAGAGCGAGGAAGAGAGCAGAGAGAGAGCGAGGAAGAGAGCAGAGAGAGAGCGAGG